Molecule: ribosomal RNA, 279 nt
Filed under: uncultured archaeon
Lineage: Archaea
Description: partial 16S ribosomal RNA
Rfam family: Archaeal small subunit ribosomal RNA
Source: RNAcentral
GAGACCCACGCCCACAGUUGCCAGCGUACUCUCCGGAGUGACGGGUACACUGUGGGGACCGCCGCUGCUAAAGCGGAGGAAGGAAUGGGCAACGGUAGGUCAGUAUGCCCCGAAUAUCCCGGGCUACACGCGAGCUACAAUGGUUGGUACAAUGGGUAUCUACCCCGAAAGGGGAUGGAAAUCUCCUAACGCCAAUCUUAGUUCGGAUCGAGGGCUGCAACUCGCCCUCGUGAAGCUGGAAUCCGUAGUAAUCGCACAUCAACAGAGUGCGGUGAAUAC